Molecule: ribosomal RNA, 116 nt
Filed under: Pteropus alecto (black flying fox)
Lineage: Eukaryota; Metazoa; Chordata; Mammalia; Chiroptera; Pteropodidae
Also listed under: 1 other name
Source: RNAcentral
GUCUAUAGCCAUGUUGCCCUGAACAAGCCCAAUGUCGGAUCUCAGAAGGUAAGCAGGGUUGGGCCUGGUUAGUACUUGGAUGGGAGACCACCUAGGAAGACCAGGUGCUGUAGGCA